CAGAGGCAAAGCUAGGCUUGGGGCAGCGGGUGAAAAACCAAGAUCUGACGUCACACUUCACACAUCUGACGUCCACUCGGGUCUUUCUGUCCGGGAAGAACUGCAGCCACAAAGACCUUCUGUGUGAGACAACAAUCUCCAGCCCUGGUCCUGUCUGCACUAACUGUGGAGCUGAGGUCAAAGAAGACACCAUUGUGUCUUUAGAAAGCACACAGCACCCUUCUCACAGGAGAAAACCCCAUGUAGAUACCAGGGAAGACCUCACCAGGGAAGACCUCACUAAGACCUCUGUGUCCAAAGCAGGGAGGGGUACUUCAAACACAAACACUCUUGGUCAGACAACCUGUCGCUCCAACAUUAGAUCUGACUUCCCUAAAGGCCUGCAGCAGGAAGUUAUGCCAAGUCAAGCAUUGGACACAGCAAUACCAACUCCCUCCCUCCCCUACAGAAAUAACACUGACCCUUCUGAUGGUGCUGAAGUUAAAUUAAUUAAAGGGAUUCUUAAAAAGCCCCCCAAGUGCAGAGUCUCUGGAGGAGAGGCCAGGUCCAGUCUGUACAGGGCCGGGCAUUUAAUGUUCACCAAACAAGUUGCCAUUUCCAUCAGAGAUAGUGUGGAACUCACCAGAACGAAGGUCAGGAAUGCAGAGGACAACAGUAAGGUCAAAAAGAAGAUACGCUGGCUGGACGAGGCCAAGCUUGAAGAGGAGGAGGAGGAGAAGGAGAUCCAGCCUGAUCAUCAUUUAAAAAACAAGCCCUCAUUUCCUCAACAUAACCAACAGCAGAGUCUUGGCUUGGCCCGGGCUCACACCUCCACCCCCGGAUAUCAUUUCACCAAGCAGGCCUGGGCAGAUGUCAGGGUUCAGGAGAGACGCCAGGAGGCCUGGGAGACCCGAGUGGAGGUCAGGGGGCAGCGAGGGAGGGGCGGGAGGCCCGGGUUCCCCAGGGUCCCCAGGAGAGUGGGGUCUGCCAGGGCCGGGACAGGUCCCUCUCUCUCCAGAAAGGGUAGAGUCAUCCGAACCCAGUCUGCCAGCGAGGCCAGUAGGGACGUGGUCAUGGUGACCCAGGGCAAGGUCAAGGCACCUCGCCCCCCACCCCGGGCAGACCCCCAGGAGCACCGCGCUCAGCCAGGAGAGGCUGCAGCUGUAGUUUCAUACAGCACUAAGAGUCCUCAUGGUGUAUUGGAUCCGACCAACGCGUCUGUGUCAUUCAUCACAGUGCACUCCAGUGGUGCUCCGGCAGGUGUUUCGGUUGAGCGGGCCUUUUGUAACAGGGACACGCUGGAUGGCUUCCACCUAUCCCAUGCACAAGUCCUCAAAGCAGGUGGCGGCGUCAUCUUCAUGCCGUUGCCUCCACCGUAUGCCUCUUCCUGCACGAUUUCCAGCCCUUCCACAACCACCCCCGGGUCAGUCCAGCGGGAUGCCCUGGGAGGGCCUGCCAGGCGGGGGAUUCUCUACGACAAGGGCCUUUGCCUGGGCCACACCCCCACAGACGAGGAGAUCUCUCAGCUCUGGCAUGGAGUCCGCAGAGCCUUGACCACCAAGGAGGAUGACCAGAGAAACUCCCCAUACGAUAAUUUGUGUGCCUUGCCUCAAGCCCACGCCAACCUAUCCCACACCACCACCAGCGGACACAGGCACAGCUGUGGAGUCAAAGCUGUUACCGGGACAGAAGGCUUCUUCGUCUCCUCAUACAAUGGCAGAGGCCUGGUGAGGAAGCCAACCCAGGAGAACUGUGGGCCUAGGAGGAGAGGAGCACCUGGUUCAGGGAACAGAAGGCUUCCUCUUCCAUCCCAGUCACAGGUACAUACAGGAGGUCUUCUUCUAACAUCACAGGAACAUACAGGAGGUCUUCUUCUAACAUCACAGGCUUUAGGGCUGAUGACAGCUUUGCAGACCAAAAAUGACCUGACAUAUCAAGGUGAAGAUUCAGAAUAUGCUGCAGAGGCAGACAGUGAGAUGGCGGUUGCCGUAGAGACCAUCCAGACACCAAGGCCUCCCCUUGGUCUUCCACAGCAACGUAGCCAUGCCCAGGGGCAGUGGUGCCCACAACAGGGCCAGAACCAGGGCCUGACCACCAUAUCCCUGGAGGAACAAAAGGUUCUGCUCUCCUUGGAUCGACUCAACCAUCAGCUGCAGUAUGUGCAAGAGUAUACUGGAGGCAACGCCGCUGGUAAAGCCGUCCUACAAGGCAGCUCACCCUUUGCCGGGGGAGUGUCAGCUGCUGGCCCCCGAAGGCCCCCCAACGUCUCCGCUUACAACCGUUCCAGAACACAGAGAAGAUUCUGACACAACGUUUCAAUAUGGCCACCUGAAUGGGACCGUCUCUGCGUUAUUACUGUACCUGCUAAGAGAGCACUUUAUACAAGCCCUCCCCACGGCUCCACACCAC
This is a long non-coding RNA of Esox lucius (northern pike), 2388 nucleotides long. Lineage: Eukaryota; Metazoa; Chordata; Actinopteri; Esociformes; Esocidae. The record is from Ensembl.